CCCUUAGAUGUUCUGGGCUGCACGCGCGCUACACUGAAGCGUUCAACGAGUAUUCACCUUGCCCGGGAGGGUUGGGUAAUCUUUUGAAAACGCUUCGUGAUGGGGAUAGAUUAUUGCAAUUAUUAAUCUUCAACGAGGAAUUCCUAGUAAGCGCGAGUCAUCAGCUCGUGCUGAUUACGUCCCUGCCCUUUGUACACACCGCCCGUCGCACCUACCGAUUGAAUGGUCCGGUGAAAUCUUCGGAUCUGAGAGAUGUCUGAUUAAUUUCGGACGCCUUUUGGAAAAGUUGUUUAAACCUUACCAUUUAGAGGAAGGUGAAGUCGUAACA
RNAcentral lists this ribosomal RNA (328 nucleotides) under uncultured eukaryote. Its description in RNAcentral is "partial 18S ribosomal RNA". It matches the Rfam family "Eukaryotic small subunit ribosomal RNA", at positions 1470 to 1796 of the family's 1831-position model. The record is from RNAcentral.